Long non-coding RNA from Mus musculus (house mouse), 1018 nucleotides. RefSeq annotates it as predicted gene, 34237. The record is from RefSeq and is a predicted model, not a curated record. Lineage: Eukaryota; Metazoa; Chordata; Mammalia; Rodentia; Muridae. The transcript has 6 exons.
GUAACUCUGGGUCCAGGAAAUGAGGUGUUCUAACCUCUGCAGGCAUGCCCACUCAUGUAUUCAUGUGUAUAAACACACACAGACACACUUAAAAAUAAUAGAAGUAAAUCUUUAAAAAUAGAGUGAGAAAUUACCUUGAAACUACCCUCUAUGGGAUACAUUCAUGCUUCCCAUCCCUAAGCAGGGCUCUUCUCAGCAUUAGGAACCACACUCUGGGAUAUAUGGAUGUUUUCCAUACCUAGCCAGGGCUCUUCUCAGCAUUAGGGAGACAAUACUAUAAGGUUGUGACUUAACCACAUGAUCAUGCUAAUUAAAGUUCUUUCCUGUCUUGUCUCACAUACAGUGGGUGUCCAAAUGAGAAUGGUGGUCCAGCUCCUCUGGAGCUUCUAACCAAAUGUUGGUUAGAAGACUGAAAGCACAAAGGGAACAAGCAAGGGAUUCUGGAGGAAGACUGUUCCUGAUACCCAAAUCAGGAGGGGGGACGUGGCGCUAUUGUGAGAGAGGCAUCUAUUUGGAACCUGAGUGUGGCCCCUAGGAAUGAAGACCAAUCUCUGUUCAAGAGACCACUAGAAAAAUUGGCCUCAUUUUUUCUGUGACAACAAGAAGCUGAGUUCGGCCAACAACCUGCAGAAGUUUAGAAGUGAUCACUGAGCUCCAGGGAAAAGGAAGAAAGCUACCAAGACAAAUAAGUUUGGUGUAAAGUGGUCUCUGGUUCAGUGGCCAUGGAGAAGAGGAAUGAGCUAGCACUGAGUACUCAUUCAUCCUUCAUAAGAGAAUUUCAACUGUACGGUGCCACGCGAAGCAUCUUUUUAGCACCGUGAAAGCUAUGUAGUAGAGACGAAGCUUCCAGCUCUGGUCCAUCUUGAUUCUUCCAUGUCCUGUUUAAGUAUUUAUUUAUCCUCAUCUGCCUGGCAUUCCUGAAGUCUCCUUACUACAGUAAAGCAAACAAAUUAGCAUUUUAUAAAAUAUUUUCUAGAGGUAAGAGUUUUGUAACCCCAAAAUAAAUGUCCCUUUACCC